Molecule: long non-coding RNA, 607 nt
Organism: Lemur catta (Ring-tailed lemur)
Lineage: Eukaryota; Metazoa; Chordata; Mammalia; Primates; Lemuridae
Exons: 2
Source: RefSeq, a predicted model, not a curated record
CCAGCUCCUCGAUCUUGGACUUCCCAGCCUCCAGCACUGAUCAGAACCACGGCGAAGAUGAUGAUGACAACGACCACGAUGGCAGCAACGAUGGCUCCAGAACCUACGCGGAGGAGAGGAGCAGAGAUGGCGAAGGUGCAAACUGAAAUGCAGACUGCGAGAGGGCCGCUAUCAUGGCUGCUGUCUUGGCACCUGACAACCCCACUGGGUCAAGGGAAGGAGGAGAGAUGGCAACAUCAUGGGACACUCACUGCUGACCCCAGGACAGAGUCACAUCUAGCGUGGCCGGACACCCCUACCCCCAACUGGGCUUGAGGGGCUGUAUUCGCAGCACAUCAUCUGCCACAGUUUUGCUUUAGGCCAAGUCCUGUUCUUACAGCUCCAGCACAGCUUCAAACUUACUCUGGGAAACAGACAAGGAAAAUACUGUCCUCUCUUUUUGAUAAUACAAAAGUAACAAGAUUUUUAGAGAUAAUUUUGAAAAUAUAAAUACAAGCAGAAAAGGAGGAGGGAGAAUGAAGACCUCAUUGCCCCAAGAACCACUGAUCAUCUACAUAUAUACAUUCACCAAUGCGAUCAUGUUUAUGCAUAUUAAAUAUCUAUCAUA